Molecule: ribosomal RNA, 253 nt
Filed under: uncultured bacterium
Lineage: Bacteria
Description: partial 16S ribosomal RNA
Rfam family: Bacterial small subunit ribosomal RNA
Source: RNAcentral
UACGUAGGGUGCGAGCGUUGUCCGGAAUUACUGGGCGUAAAGGGCGCGUAGGCGGCCUUCUAAGUCAGACGUGAAAUCCCCAGGCUUAACUUGGGAACUGCGUCUGAUACUGGGAGGCUUGAGUGCGGGAGAGGGAUGUGGAAUUCCAGGUGUAGCGGUGAAAUGCGUAGAUAUCUGGAGGAACACCGGUGGCGAAGGCGGCAUCCUGGACCGACACUGACGCUGAGGCGCGAAAGCUAGGGGAGCAAACGGG